RNAcentral lists this ribosomal RNA (627 nucleotides) under uncultured bacterium. RNAcentral describes it as "bacterial SSU rRNA". It matches the Rfam family "Bacterial small subunit ribosomal RNA", at positions 338 to 917 of the family's 1533-position model. The record is from RNAcentral.
CCUACGGGAGGCAGCAGUGGGGAAUAUUGGACAAUGGGGGAAACCCUGAUCCAGCCAUACCGCGUGUGUGAAGAAGGCUCUAGGGUUGUAAAGCACUUUCAGCAGUGAAAAAAAGUCGUAGGUUAAUAGCCUAUGGUCUUGAUGUUAACUGCACAAGAAGCACCGGCUAACUCCGUGCCAGCAGCCGCGGUAAUACGGAGGGUGCAAGCGUUGAUCGGAAUUACUGGGCGUAAAGCGCUCGUAGGUGGCUUUGCAAGCUGGAUGUGAAAGCCCUGGGCUCAACCUAGGAAUUGCAUUCAGAACUGCAUGGCUUGAGUACAGUAGAGGGUAUCGGAAUUUCCGGUGUAGCGGUGAAAUGCGUAGAUAUCGGAAGGAACAUCAGUUGCGAAGGCGGAUACCUGGACUGAUACUGACACUGAGGAGCGAAAGCGUGGGUAGCAAACAGGAUUAGAUACCCUGGUAGUCCACGCCGUAAACGAUGUCAACUAGCCGUUGGUCUGACCUCUUAAUCAUUUUUAGAUGCUACUUAAGAAUGAUUAAGUGGUCAGAUUAGUGGCGUAGCUAACGCGAUAAGUUGACCGCCUGGGGAGUACGGCCGCAAGGUUAAAACUCAAAUGAAUUGACGGA